Molecule: long non-coding RNA, 4340 nt
Filed under: Homo sapiens (human)
Lineage: Eukaryota; Metazoa; Chordata; Mammalia; Primates; Hominidae
Description: non-protein coding lnc-PLK2-3:3
Source: RNAcentral
GCUACUGCAUCUGAAUGAUUUGCAAGCAAAUGAUCCUACUCUCUGAAGCUUAUGAUUUCAUUUUAUUUUAUGUUUAUUUUCCCUCUCUGAAUGAAAAGUACCACAUUAGGAAGUCAGUGUUUGUGUGUGUGAUUUUUGUUUUACUUGGUUUUGUUUUUAUUCUCAAAUGAAAGUACCCUGCCAGUAAUCACUGGUGUUUUGGGAAGACAACCAGUAGCAGUGCUGGCUCCCUAUCUUGGAGUGGAUGGGCUUUAUGUCCAGGCAGCCAUCUGUGGGAGUGGUAGCCUGGAGCCAGGUCUUGGAGCUACCUGUGCAUGAAAAGGGGUGGCUGGCAAGAUGGCUGAAUAGGAACAGCUCUGGUCUGCAGCUCCCAGAGAGAUCAACGCAGAAGGUGGGUGAUUUCUGCAUUUCCAACUGAGGAGGGGAUUUGACAAGAUGAGGGCUCAGCAGACUAAAGGGUCAAAGUCAGCCUGGUGCCUGUUUUAGUAUCCCUGCAAGGUGGGCAUAUUCAGCCUUGAGCAGUGGAAGAUACCAAGUGAUACAGUUUGAAUGACCCAGAAAGGCACUCUCCAUUUUGUAUCCCCCCUUAGCCCUCCAUUACUCCUCUUGAUCAAGAAGUUGGCAUUUGGAGUUAUGGAAUUGUCUCCAGGAUCCCCUAUCAGAACGAGAUUCUCUUGCUGGGGAAAGUAAAUGCCCUGCCAGUGGUGUUUCUGGAGGCAUUGCGCACUGAAUCUCCAUCUGCUCCCACACAUCUCAGCCCUGGCCCCUGAGCAGGGCCAUGUGACCAGUUCUAGUCAAUUAAAACUCCAACUACAAAUCUCCAGUUCUUUCUCCCCUUGCCUUUGCCAGGUCUGCAGGCACUUGCUGGAGGAAAGUGUUGUAAGAUGAUGGAGCCCCAGGCCAUCUGCAUACUUUGAGUGAUUCCCUCCACCCCUCAUCCAGUACAGAUACAGAAUAUUGUUGGAAACACAUGCACCAUGAGCAAGAUAUAAAACCUCCAGAUUUGAAUAUUAUUUGCUACAAAUGCCUAGUCUAUCUUGACAAAUACAGUGUGCAUAAACAUUGCUUGGAGAGUUCGUUCAAAUCCAUUUCUCAGUUCCCACAUUAGCUAAAUCAGAAUUUCAGGUGCAAGGGAAAAGUCAUCAUCACAUUUAAAAAAAAAAUCAUUCAGUAAAUUUGAUACACACCAGUGAUUAAAAACCACUGUGGAUAGCCAUUUGCAUUCCUUGAUGAUAUUGACAGCAAUUACCAGGGUCUUUGAAAUCUUUUCACUCAUAGCACUCAGAAAAUGAUAUUAGUUAUAUGACUUACUGGGCCCAAUCGACCAAGCUGUGUGUGGCUAGAAGCUGAAUGGGAUGGGGAUAUAGGAAAGAAUGGCUUUCAUAUUCUGGGCCCUGCCUGUCCCUAAAGCCGAGAGAUGACCAUUUCAGAUCACCCUUCAUGUUUGUAAUGCUGUGCAGAGGCAUGUGGGUUGGGAAGCUCUGAUGUCAGCCUGGUGGUCUAGCUAGAGCAGGAUGCAGAGGACAUGGGACAUGGGAAAACGCAACAAGUAUCACCCAGGGAGGGCUCUGGGAGACAGCAGUCUGGAGGCCAAAGUGGUGGAUUCUGCCACGUGAGAGAACUGCAUCAAGUCCUAGAGAGUUGGAUGAGGAGCUGGAUGAGAACAAAGUAGUCGGGGCAAAGUCUAGGGUUUAAUAAGAACUAUUCCAAAGGUUUUGUGAAGUUUAUAAUCCUGCUUAAUUCUGGCCCCAGCUAAGGCUCAUUCUAAAUGAGAAUUCAAUGCCAGUGAGCUGAAACGCAUCUUUAUCCAACCUGCAAACACCUAUUCUGUGCCAGGAACCGUGUUUAGAAACAAAGCAGGAUGUAUAUGCAGGGCCAGGAAAUAUUCCCAGGUGCCUCCCCUUGUUGUAUGGGGUUUUCUGCAAGACUUAUCUUGGCCCAAGGGCCUGCUUUUGGUCAAGGGCUACUUCCCUCUUCCCCAUAUCACAUCACAUUAUCUGCUUUUCCAAGCCUUAGCUGGUCCGAUUCACCUAAAGCAGUAGUACCUAGGGGACAGCCCCAUGAGUCAGCUCCUCCUCUGCAGUUCACACAGAUUCCAGGAGGUCUUUUUAAUCUGUCCGCCAGAAACUGCUGAACACAAAGCACCUGAGUGUAUGAAAAAUAUUAUGUUUGGGUACAUCCGUGCACUUCUGCGCAAGGCACAGAUUUGGAAUACUUUACACUAGGAGAUGUUCUGGUCUAAGAAAUGAUAUGCUACUGCAUCAGUAAUAAAAUACAUCAUCUGUCUGCACUGAAGAGCUCUUAUAAACCUUAAUUAUUAUCAUUAAACACAAGUGUAAGUGCUCUGGAAUUUCAUACCAGGGCGGGGCUCUGUGAAGUGGCACUUCAGUUUCCCCAAAGGGCUGGCUGAGAGCAGGGAGCAGGCCCACAGAGAUUUGGACAUAACCACGACCACUCCUUUGAGUGGAAUUAUUUGGAAUUAUUUUAGUGGCAACUGGUUGGGUGUUGAAACAAUGUAAAUGCUAUGGUUGGAGGCAUUGGUAUUCUCCUGGCUACACUGUCUCAGCUAGAUGACUCGCUGACCCAAGUUACCAUAGUCAUCUUUCCAAAACCAGUGAAGGGAAUUCCCAAAAUUUUCCUAACCUACUGGGCAUCCUUACAGGCACAGAAUAAAACUUUUUGAAACAGAUUCCUCAACUUGCUGUGCAAAUGCUUCACUCAUACAAUGAACCAAAGCUGGGGCAACUUACAUUGCAUAUAGCACCCUUCUGCUUCAAGUUCACAUUUGUGUCAAAUUCAGUGCUAUUAUGGGGCUCCUGCAGUAUACCUAAGUCUGUCCCAGGUGCUGUGGGAGUUUCAGAAAAAUUAUAAGGGAGUCCCAUCGUGGAGGAGCUUAUAAUCUAAGAAUAAAGCAGCUAUCAUCUGAAGCACUAAACUCAUGUCAGACGAAUUUGGGUUCAAAUAAUAUGUAUUUCUCCACUUUCUGGCUGUUUGAACUUGGGCCCCAGAUUUUAUCUUCUGAGUCUACAUUUCAUCUUCUGCAAGUUAAAGAUAACGAUAACUACCCUGAGAGGCAUUUAUGAGAAUUAAGUCAGAUAAUCCUCAUCAGACACUGAGUGCAGAAACUGACCCAUCGUGAGGGCUCAGUAAAUGAGAGCAAUGAUGAUGACAAUGAUGAUGAGACAAUAGUAAGCAAUAGAAUGCAGUAUCUAAUUGGAAACAAAAUUAUAAAAUAUGUACCAUACAUCUGAUAGGAGUUUGGAAAAGGGAGAACCUCUUGGGGUUAAAAUACUAAAAAAGGUUUUAUGAUAAAAAGGGACCAGUGUUGAGCCUGGAAGGAUACAUAGAAUUCCAAUGGGGGAGGUUAAAAGAGUUGACAUUCCAAUUGGGCAAAAUAACUACAGUUGGUGAAAACAUUCAAAGUUGGCAGCAAGACCUGUUGUGAUAUUCCAUUCAAUGGAUCUCAUUUCAAUGUCUUACUUCAUUGUGUGAUUAAUGAAAUCCAAGGAGCUCCACAGGAGAGGCAUCCACUGAAGAGGCAUCCAGGCUUAGUCUCCUAGUGACCACUCCUAAUUGUUUGGAUUCUAUUAUACUUCUAGAGGCAACACCCUCCAAUAUUGCCAGUAGUAUGCUUUAAAAUGGAAGAUUAUGGAUGGAAUUGAAUUUGCUAAUCCACUGACCUUAAAAUAGAGGGAUUAUACUGGAUUACUUAGGUGGGCCCAAUAGCAUCCCAAGUGUUCUUCAGUGUGGAAGAGGGAGACAGAAUAGGGAGAACAAGAGCAAUGACAACCUGAGAAGAGACUCUGGCUGACUUUGAAGGUGGAAGAAAGGGGUCAUGAGCCAUAGGAUGGUCUCUAGAAGCUUGAUAAGGCAAGGAAACUGAUUCUCCCUCACAGCCUCCAGAAAUGACUGACAACAUCUUGAUUUUAGCCCAGUGAGACCCCUGUUGGACAGCUGACCUUCGGAACUGUAAAAUAAUAUGUCUGGGUUGUUUUAAGCCACCAAAUUUUGGUAAUUUGUUUUAGUGAUGGAAAACUCAUACAGCAGCAGAAGCUUUUUGACACAGAUAGUCCAGAUGUUUAUUAUAUGUUUAAAUCUCAGCUUUCAUUUUUAAAUUUCCAAGCGCUGUUUCUCAUACAAAGAAGUUUCUUUGUUUCAAAUCAUACUAGUCUUGUUUAGUGUAUAAAAUAAGAGUCAGAUGGAAAUGGCAUACUACUUUUAAUUUGCUUUGAAGAAAGUAACUCUCAUCUUAGGAUUCAACAUUGAGGGUGGAAAAAAGAGGGAAGGAAGAGGGAAAGAAGAAAAACAAAAGUAAAGACCAGUUGUUUGUAUAAAUGCCC